This 1104-nucleotide long non-coding RNA is filed under the name Gopherus agassizii (Agassiz's desert tortoise). RNAcentral describes it as "lncRNA (ENSGAGG00000016868.1)". Lineage: Eukaryota; Metazoa; Chordata; Testudines; Testudinidae. The record is from RNAcentral.
GUGCUUGCAAGAAUAAUAGGGGUCAGAUUUUCCUGGAUGUGAUAGCGGAUGGAUUUCUUCAUCAAGUAGUUGAAGUACCUACGAGAGGGGAUGCCAUUUUAGAUUUGGUGUUGGUGAGCAGUGAGGACCUCGUAGAAGAAAUGGUGGUAGGGGACAACCUUGGUUUGAGUGAUCAUGAGCUGAUUCAGUUCAAACUAGAUGGAAGGAUAAACAAAUGUAGAUCUGGGAUUAGGGUUUUCGACUUCUCGAGGGCUAAUUUUAAAGAGUUAAGGAAAUUAGUUAGGGAAGUGGAUUGGACGGAGGAAUUAGUGGAUUUAAAUGCGGAGGAGGCCUGGAAUUACUUUAAGUCGCAGCUGCGGAGACUGUCGGAAGCCUGCAUCCCGAGAAAGGGGGAAAAAACCAUGGGCAGGAGUUGUAGGCCAAACUGGAUGAGCAAGCAACUCAGAGAGGGGAUUAGACAAAAGCAGAAAGCUUACAGGGAGUGGAAGAAAGGCAGGAUCAGUAAGGAAAGCUACCUUGGUGAGGUCAGAACAUGUAGGGAUAAAGUGAGGAAGGCUAAAAGCCGCAUUGAACUGGACCUUGCAAAGGGAAUCAAAACCAAUAGUAAAAGGUUCUACAGCCACAUAAAUAAGAAGAAAACAAAGAAAGAAGAAGUGGGGCCGCUAUACACUGAGGAUGGAAUGGAGAUCAAGGAUAACCUAGGCAUGGCCCAACAUCUAAACAAGUACUUUGCUUCAGUUUUUAAUAAGACUAGUGAACCUUGGGAUGAUGGAGGGAUGAUAAACGGGAAUGUGGAUAUGGAAGUGGAUAUUACCGCAACUGAGGUAGAGGCCGUACUUGAACAGCUCGAUGGGACGAAGUCGGAGGGCCCGGACAAUCUCCAUCCGAGGAUAUUAAAGGAACUGGCGCGUGAAAUUGCGAGCCCGUUAGCGAAAAUUUUUAAGCAAUCGGUAAACUCGGGGGUUGUGCCGUAUGACUGGAGGAUUGCUAAUGUAGUUCCUAUUUUUAAGAAAGGGAAUAAAAGUGAUCCGGGUAAUUAUAGGCCUGUUAGCUUGACGUCUGUAGUAUGCAAGGUCUUGGAAAAAAUUUUAAGGGAGAAAGUAG